GCUGGGUACAGUGGCGCACACCUGUAAUCCCAGUGGCUAGGGAGGCUGAGGCAGGAGGAUUGUGAGUUCAAAGCCAGCCUCAGCAAAAGCGAAGUGCUAAGCAACUCAGUGAGACUCUGUCUCUA
This 125-nucleotide small RNA is filed under the name Marmota monax (woodchuck). Lineage: Eukaryota; Metazoa; Chordata; Mammalia; Rodentia; Sciuridae. The record is from RNAcentral.